UGGGGAAUUUUGGACAAUGGGCGAAAGCCUGAUCCAGCAAUGCCGCGUGUGUGAAGAAGGCCUUCGGGUUGUAAAGCACUUUUGUCCGGAAAGAAAUCCUUGGCUCUAAUACAGUCGGGGGAUGACGGUACCGGAAGAAUAAGCACCGGCUAACUACGUGCCAGCAGCCGCGGUAAUACGUAGGGUGCAAGCGUUAAUCGGAAUUACUGGGCGUAAAGCGUGCGCAGGCGGUUUGCUAAGACCGAUGUGAAAUCCCCGGGCUCAACCUGGGAACUGCAUUGGUGACUGGCAGGCUAGAGUAUGGCAGAGGGGGGUAGAAUUCCACGUGUAGCAGUGAAAUACGUAGAGAUGUGGAGGAAUACCGAUGGCGAAGGCAGCCCCCUGGGCCAAUACUGACGCUCAUGCACGAAAGCGUGGGGAGCAAACAGGAUUAGAUACCCUGGUAGUCCACGCCCUAAAACGAUGUCAACUAGUUGUUGGGGAUUCAUUUCCUUAGUAACGUAGCUAACGCGUGAAGUUGACCGCCUGGGGAGUACGGUCGCAAGAUUAAAACUCAAAGGAAUUGACGGGGUCAUAGCUGUUUCCU
Molecule: ribosomal RNA, 586 nt
Filed under: uncultured bacterium
Lineage: Bacteria
Description: partial 16S ribosomal RNA
Rfam family: Bacterial small subunit ribosomal RNA
Source: RNAcentral